Branchiostoma floridae (Florida lancelet) is the source of this 3004-nucleotide RNA transcript. RefSeq lists it as uncharacterized. The record is from RefSeq and is a predicted model, not a curated record. Lineage: Eukaryota; Metazoa; Chordata; Leptocardii; Amphioxiformes; Branchiostomatidae. The transcript is spliced from 6 exons.
GAUGAUUACCUGUAUGAAUAUCGUGACCUCUGACCUCCAAGACGACGAUUACAAAGAGAACGAAAGACGACAUUUCAGGGAGUUCUUGUUUCGUGGACACCUUGUAAACCACCGUGAUGGGAGCACACGCAUAGGUCUAUCAAAGAACCUACGAUAUCAAGUCUUACUAAGAGGGAAAGCCAAUAGGACUAAUUCCAUCUCCACCCAGCCCCGGGGGAGGUUGUGUUGGAUUCGUCCACCUGCCACAGAGUCAGGAACUGAGUAAGACUGGGUGUGUCUCACAGAAGUACCUAUCUAGCUGUGUCGCCAACUGUCAUUACAGUGCAAGAAAACCCCAGUGUUGGGCGGCAUCAUGGCUACACCUUCGCCAGAGCUCAUGCCCCUGUGGGCGGGUCUGGCGGUGAGCGGUUCCGUGCUGAUCGCCACCGUGGCGGCCGUGGUGACGUACUGCCACUCCCGACAGCAGGCCCGCCGCGACCAGCGUCUCCGGGCCAGACUGAGCCGUGUCAACGAGCAACUCUCCAAACUGUACGGGCCCCUGUACGGCAACAGGCUGGCCAAUCACAAGGCGUACGCCCAGGCCUUGGGCACACAUUCCACCCUUGACUCGUACCUGAACGACGCUCUACAAACCUGGCAGAUGGACCGACAUACCGGCAGCAUGAUGCUGUCACGAUGGCGGACAUUCCUUUUCUACAUCAUGUACCCGUUAGACCUAAAGGCAGAGGAGAUCAUUCGCGACAACAUCCACCUGUGCGAGGGACAUUUUCCCCAGGGGUUCGCUGACUUCCUCUUCCACACCAACUAUCUGCGCAUCGUCCUGUCUCACUGGCAGCUCAGGAAAGACGGGACUCUGGACACAGAGCUGGAGUACGCUCAAGAGGACGACUUCUACCGCGAGAACAACGGUGGAUUCGCCUUCCAUUACCCUAUAUUCGACCAGCUGGACGUGUUCGUGAAGGACACAUAUGAGAGUCUGCUGCUGCAUCAGCAGGGUUUGCUGAAGGCCCUGAAGGAGGGCGACAGCGGUGAGGUUGGAACAGUUCUUGUCAGUCCUCGUGGCGCCGAACAAGCAACGGAAGUUACCGAAGUCUAUCCGAUCUAUGUCCCCGUUGGCCCUGCCAAGGGAGGCAAGGGAGCUACAAACGGCCAUGGCAGUGUUCGCAAGGACAUUGAAGACCGAGACGCUCUAACCAUGGAACCUGAUGACCAUUGGAACUUCAAUAAGAGACAGACCUCGUCUUGAGAACAACUUCUAGCUAACAAUAAAUUACCUAUAAAAACCACAUGGUGCGUGGGGUUGGGUUGGGGUGCUGGCAAACUUAACGAUAUUCAAUGAAAGAAAAUCUACGCCAUGUUUCCAAAUAUCCUAGCAUACCUUUUAUAGAGAAGUCGUAACCGUUUUUUUUUGUCUGGCUGAGCGUCAAUAAGACAGCCUUUUCGAAAUUUUUUGCCCCUUUUUGUUUUGUUUGGAGAUUAAAAAUCUUGCAGAGUGGAUGGAUUGCUACUAAGUCGGGAGAGAAAAGAAUCCAACAGAACGCACUGUAAUCGUGUUGCAAUCCUCAAGAAAGAGUGGUUUGAGACGAAAUGUUAUUGGCCAUGUUAAGAAAACAGAUUCAUAAAUACUAGUAGUACAUAAUCGUAGAAUAUUCGUUGUUUGUUCUCUGCCUUAGUCUUUGGCAUUCAGUUGUGUUCUGGUGUGUACAUUAAGAUCUGUGUCUGCCAUGAAGGCGAUCUGUCUUAGAUCAACCUUGUAACGUUGGUGGGGUUGGUGGGUAAGUUGACGUAUUUGUCGUUUAACACAAUAUAAUCGUAACCAUUUAUUAACGGAAACAAAAAUUUAGGGUUCUGUUGUCGUCACAAUCACCCGACAGUGAAGAGGUGUCAGCACAAACGUAAAAACUUUAUCAUUAAUUUUGCGUAUGUUUAACGUGUCGUUCCAAACUGACAAUAGUAGGCACCCAUCCAUCUCAUGAGAUGAUGGUAGAUGAAUGUGUUGACAAUGAACAUGCCAAAAUAGGAAAGAACUUCUACAGCGAUAGAGGACAAUGUAUAUAUGAUUUAUCAUAAGGCUCCUGAACCAUACGAGGUACCGGUGGAGCCCAGCAGGAAGUCACCAGACAGGGAUGCAGUCAAGAAAGGGAAGAUGGAGGACAAGCUCCAGGAACUUCGACAGGAGCUACAGAGUGUGGUGUAUGUACCAAACCAGUGACGCCUUCUGGUGCCAUCGCAUAUGCUCGUGUGGACUAUAUGCACAUGAUACUAGUAGCUCAAACAGGGUGUACUCUCACUAUCUAGAAAGACCAACAGAAGGAGGACAAACAGAAAGCUAUAUCAAGUUAAGGGACGAUGUUACAAGGUCAUACGCACUAUACGUCAGGGACUAAGGAUAGAUGUGUAAAGCUCAUAAGAUAUCAUAAUUUGCAUUUUUGUAGACAUAAACAUUUCCCAGUGUUAAGAUGUGUAGGUACUGUUGAACCAAUUGUUAUACAGUGGAGACCUAACAUGCAAUAUAUUGCCAUAAAUGUGUAUGUACAUUUUUAAUGUUGCCUACAAUAGAGAAUCAAUAAUAGUUAAUUACUUUGUGGUAAAUGUAUCAUUGCAGAGUAAAGCUGUUAUAAUGUUGAGGUGACCACAGCUAUCGUAAGAACAAUGUGCCAAUAUCAUACUGUGUCUCAAAACAUGUUAAUGUGAAGACCUUUUCAUUGUUUAACUUUAAGAAAACAGGUGCCUACUGUAAGAAAAGUAUUUUAACCCUGGUGGGUGGAAGACACAUAGAAUAGUGGUGCCCUUAGGUGGAAGACUACAAAGGAACUACUGUUAGAUCUAUGGCACAUGUAAAUUAUGUUCAGGAAUCAUACAAUGAAAGUCAUCAACUGAAGUAGUGUGCAGUCUCUUCUGUUUGUAAUCAAAUGAACGAACAUGAUAUGAAGGCAAUAAGAAGUUUUAAUAACUGUACUCUCAAUAUUGGUGUUUACAAAAUAAAAGUCCAAUGGUUAUGGUA